RNAcentral lists this long non-coding RNA (495 nucleotides) under Manihot esculenta (cassava). RNAcentral's name for it is "long non-coding RNA (MESC_LNC008359)". The record is from RNAcentral. Lineage: Eukaryota; Viridiplantae; Streptophyta; Magnoliopsida; Malpighiales; Euphorbiaceae.
GAACCUGGUUUCGCCCAGAAUGGCAGAAACUCAGCUCCCCUAUGCAUUUAUGCCUCCAAUCUCAUCCAAACAUGCAUAAACCUAUUCUACAACACUCAUACACAAGCAUACAAGUUCCUAGGGGCAUCAACUAACUAAAACCCCAUCUAUAACACAUCCAACAUACAUUUGCAAGCCACAUUGUUCAAAAUCACCUCAAAAACCCAUAAGCUCAACACAAGCUACACAUGCAUUUUCUACCCCAUGAACUUGCAUAAAACUUGCUUAAAACAUAAAGUAAGCUAGAGAUCGACUCUUACCUCUUGAAGAUCGAGGGUAGAGGCGAUCUAACUUGGAGUUGGAAGAUAUUUGAGUUCUUGAACCUCAAAGCUCCAAAACUUGCUCAAAACUUGGAAAUCUUCAAAACAAGAUGAAAACUAGUGAAAAACUCGAAAGAUCUGAAGGAAAAGACUCAAGAUCGGUGAGGGGUGGCGGAGAACUCACCUUGGCCGGAAA